Molecule: ribosomal RNA, 253 nt
Filed under: uncultured bacterium
Lineage: Bacteria
Description: partial 16S ribosomal RNA
Rfam family: Bacterial small subunit ribosomal RNA
Source: RNAcentral
UACGAAGGGAACUAGCGUUGUUCGGAUUUACUGGGCGUAAAGAGCAUGUAGGCGGAUUGGUCAGUUGGAUGUGAAAUCCCGGAGCUCAACUCCGGAACUGCAUUCAAUACUACCAGUCUAGAGUCUGUAAGGGGGUGGUGGAAUUCCGAGUGUAGAGGUGAAAUUCGUAGAUAUUCGGAGGAACACCAGUGGCGAAGGCGACCACCUGGUACAGUACUGACGCUGAGAUGCGAAAGCGUGGGGAGCAAACAGG